Molecule: ribosomal RNA, 254 nt
Filed under: uncultured bacterium
Lineage: Bacteria
Description: partial 16S ribosomal RNA
Rfam family: Bacterial small subunit ribosomal RNA
Source: RNAcentral
UACAGAGGUGCCAAGCGUUAGGCGGAAUCACUGGGCUUAAAGCGCGUGUAGGUGGGUCGUUAAGUGUCCGCGUGAAAUCCCUCGGCUCAACCGAGGAACUGCGUCCGAUACUGGUGGGCUUGAAUCCGGGAGAGGGAUGUGGAAUUCCAGGUGUAGCGGUGAAAUGCGUAGAUAUCUGGAGGAACACCGGUGGCGAAGGCGGCAUCCUGGACCGGUAUUGACGCUGAGGCGCGAAAGCUAGGGUAGCAAACGGG